AUAACGGUUGGAAACGACAGCUAAUACAGGAUGAGCAUCCCGAAGGCAUCUUUGGGAUGGAAAAGGGGCCAAGGCCCCGCAUACGGAUGAGCCUGCGGUGCAUUAGCUGGUUGGUGAGGUAACGGCUCACCAAGGCGAUGAUGCAUAGCCGACCUGAGGGGGUGACCGGCCACAUUGGGACUGAGACACGGCCCAAACUCCUACGGGAGGCAGCAGUAGGGAAUUUUCGUCAAUGGGGGGAACCCUGAACGAGCAAUGCCGCGUGAGCGAAGAAGGUCUUCGGAUCGUAAAGCUCUGUUGUAAGAGAAAAACGAGCGCCAUAGGGAAUGAUGGAGCAGUGAUGGUAUCUUACCAGAAAGCCACGGCUAACUACGUGCCAGCAGCCGCGGUAAUACGUAGGUGGCGAGCGUUAUCCGGAAUCAUUGGGCGUAAAGGGUGCGUAGGUGGCACGAUAAGUCUGUAGUAAAAGGCAGCGGCUCAACCGCUGUUGGCUAUGGAAACUGUCGAGCUGGAGUGCAGAAGAGGGCGAUGGAAUUCCAUGUGUAGCGGUAAAAUGCGUAGAUAUAUGGAGGAACACCAGUGGCGAAGGCGGCCGCCUGGUCUGCAACUGACACUGAAGCACGAAAGCGUGGGGAGCAAAUAGGAUUAGAUACCCUAGUAGUCCACGCCGUAAAA
This 675-nucleotide ribosomal RNA is filed under the name uncultured bacterium. RNAcentral's name for it is "bacterial SSU rRNA". It matches the Rfam family "Bacterial small subunit ribosomal RNA", at positions 143 to 807 of the family's 1533-position model. The record is from RNAcentral.